UAGAGUCCGGUUGGGAUACUAUCGAUAGUACCAAAGGUUUGGUGUUAUCGAGUUUUUCACUGUUAGAUUUAAUCCUCACCACAACAAAAAUGGUCUAUAGCGACACUUUUAAAUGUCGCUACAGGUCAAAAAAAGUGCUGCUGACUAAAUUACCGACACUUUUAAAAAGUGUUGCUAUAUGUAGGGUUGCUAGGUAUAUAGUGACAGUUAAAGAGUGUCGCUAUAACAUAAAAAGAGUGCUGCUAAUUUACUAACACUCAUUUAAGUAUUUAGCAACCGCCGGAAUUCUACCUUAUUGGCUGCGGUGGCGGAGGAGGAGGAGAGGGAAGGGCUCUUCGUCUAGAUUUCAGUGGAUUGAGCGAGGGGGGAAGGGGAGAUGACAAUAGAUUUUUCUUUUUUUUUUUUAUUUUCUGUUUGUAGUCGGGCCCAAUGGGCUGGGUGGGAUCGGUUGAGUAGAGUAACCUUUUAUUUUUUGUUGGAUUAGGCUUUAUACUUAAGCAUUAGUAGAUUUUUUUUAAAGUUUUGGCAUAAAUAGGACACUUACACAAAAGUGUCCCAAACAUAUGUCGCUAUAACCUAAUUCUGUUGUAGUGCCUUUGAUUAUUUUUAUUCGUUAGAUCAUAUUAUUUAACCAACCACUCACUCAACCUUAGGGGGCCCACAUCAUCCUAACCAUACAUUUCUCAAUCUAAUGGCUAAAAAACUAAUAGCACCAAUAUAU
RNAcentral lists this long non-coding RNA (721 nucleotides) under Ananas comosus (pineapple). RNAcentral describes it as "long non-coding RNA (ACOM_LNC016032)". Lineage: Eukaryota; Viridiplantae; Streptophyta; Magnoliopsida; Poales; Bromeliaceae. The record is from RNAcentral.